RNAcentral lists this ribosomal RNA (257 nucleotides) under uncultured bacterium. RNAcentral's name for it is "partial 16S ribosomal RNA". It matches the Rfam family "Bacterial small subunit ribosomal RNA", at positions 1235 to 1500 of the family's 1533-position model. The record is from RNAcentral.
AGGUACAGAGGGGUGCUACCGGGUGACCGGAUGCCGAUCUCGAAAACCUGUCCCAGUUCGGACUGGAGUCUGCAACCCGACUCCACGAAGUUGGACUCGCUAGUAAUCGCGCAUCAGCCAUGGCGCGGUGAAUACGUUCCCGGGCCUUGUACACACCGCCCGUCAAGCCAUGGGAGCCGGGGGCGCCUGAAGUCCGGGACCGCGAGGACCGGCCUAAGGCGAAACUGGUGACUGGGGCUAAGUCGUAACAAGGUAUC